This is a long non-coding RNA of Pristis pectinata (smalltooth sawfish), 523 nucleotides long. RefSeq lists it as uncharacterized. The transcript has 3 exons. The record is from RefSeq and is a predicted model, not a curated record. Lineage: Eukaryota; Metazoa; Chordata; Chondrichthyes; Rhinopristiformes; Pristidae.
UGGAGGCCUUGUCGCUGCUCAGGAAGCCCAGGAGCCCAGACUCGGUGUUGCUGCGGUGCCGGAACAUGGGAAGGUUGAAGGGAGCCUGGCCUUUCUCAUCCGGAGAAUUCACCGGCUGUGAGAAGGAAAAUGUACACCAGCCGGACCGGCUCUCCAGCCGCGAGGUUCAGCGACCCGUCCGCGCUCAGCGGUCGCACCUACAAGAAACUUGAAUCAUCGCAGCUGGAGGGGAGACCAUUUGGCCCAUCAAGUCCUUGGCGGCCCAUCAGAGAGAAAUCCCAUUGGUCCUUUGAUCCCAGGCCUCCAAAAUUAUCCACACCGUGGAAUUUAAAAAGGGAAGGUAAUCGUAUUAAAAAUAUUUACAGAAUUGAUGCAAAACCCAAAUCUGGUUCGCUAAUAUCCUUCCGGGAGAGCAGGUCGACAUGGGGAGGCAUCACCCCACAUUCCCGACUUGCCUUUCCCAUUAAUUCUGUAUCGCCUGCUCUCUGAAUCUUCCAGUAAAUAUUUUAAUGUUAAAUACAAA